Molecule: ribosomal RNA, 376 nt
Filed under: uncultured bacterium
Lineage: Bacteria
Description: bacterial SSU rRNA
Rfam family: Bacterial small subunit ribosomal RNA
Source: RNAcentral
UACGAGGGGUGCAAGCGUUGCUCGGAAUUAUUGGGCGUAAAGGGUAGGUAGGUGGUCUCAUUUGUCUCAUGUGAAAGCCUUGGGCUUAACUCAAGAAGUGCGUGAGAAACGGUGAGACUGGAGUCCCGGAGAGGGUCGUGGAAUUCCCGGUGUAGCGGUGAAAUGCGUAGAGAUCGGGAGGAACACCAGCGGCGAAGGCGGCGACCUGGACGGGCACUGACACUCAACUACGAAAGCGUGGGGAGCAAACAGGAUUAGAUACCCUGGUAGUCCACGCUGUAAACGAUGGGUACUAGAUUAGGUGGGUCUUGACCCCUGCCGAAUCGGCGCUAACGCACUAAGUACCCCGCCUGGGAAGUACGGUCGCAAGACUAAA